Long non-coding RNA from Solanum lycopersicum (tomato), 1207 nucleotides. RefSeq lists it as uncharacterized. Lineage: Eukaryota; Viridiplantae; Streptophyta; Magnoliopsida; Solanales; Solanaceae. The record is from RefSeq and is a predicted model, not a curated record.
UUUAGUAUAUAAUAAUACUUUUUUUAAGACAGAUUGGCACUUUGAUAGACAAAAAAUAAUGUAGUUGUCUAAAGAAUAAUUAGUUCAUUUUAACUCUUAUCCAUAUGCUGAACAUGUCUAGUUGCAUUGUCUUCGAUCUCUUCUUGUCAAUUUAUACAAAGGAAUAAAAUAUCUCAUGGCCAAACAUGUUCCCUUGAGAAAUGAGAAGUGAUACAUUUGUAAGGUUCAAAAUUGUCAUUGACAUGCUAGCUAACUAAUUAUCUCAAAGUUUAACAAGAUUAUUUUAGUUUAUACUGGAAUUAUUUUAUACGUAGAUUGAUUUCGAUCUUCAGAUUACAUGUAUUUUGCGUUUUCAGAUAAAUAUAUCGUGGAUAAUUGAAGUCAAAUUCGAUAUUAUUCAUUCUAAAUACAUUGUAUUAUAUUCAAGUGAGUUGCAUUGACUUUCUCGUUCAUCCUUCUCCCUCGAUCGUCGAGUAAUAUAUGUAUUUAAAUAUUUCUGAUUUGAGAUUAUUAAUAAACAAUAUGUAAUUAUUUCGAAAUUCAAACUAUAGAAAAAAAUUAGUAAAUAUAAUAGCAUUGUUUUUAUUAUUGGAAAUAUUAGAGACCACGUUCGCUACGUUUAUAAGAGUGGACGUAAAAGGGGGUAGAAUUUAAUUUCACUUUAGUAGAAAGCAGAGUGGAAAAUAUGUAGCUUCUCAAGUUUUUUAAAAAAACGAAACAAGAUGCCGUGGGAUGUGUCGACUAGUGAGAUUCGAUUUCGAGUAGGAGCACAUCUCGAGGAGCAGUUUGAGUCCGAAUUUAAAGUGCAUUGUAGUCGUGGUGAGCUGCUUGGUUGUUCUGUGGCCCACACCUCCCUCUAUCUUUUAUUUAUUCUGUUAUUCAGUUUUCAGACAAGAUAUUCCUUAUGUUAGAUUUGUCAUUCUAGUUUCAGAUUUGCAUCGUAUUAUAGAAGCUCUUGUACUUAUGACAUCAAUUCUUGGGUAGUAUUUUUUUUUCAAUUUUCCGCAUUCUUAAUUAUAAGGAACUCAGUGUUGGAGAGUUGACUAAUUGUUGUCUUUUCACUCAUUAGUUAGUUAUGUCUGUUAAAAUGUGUUGGUUGGCUUACCUAUUGGUUGGGAACAUAGGUGCCAUCACGACUGGUGAUUUUUGGGAUCGUGACACAGAUAUUGAUAGAAAUAAUAAUCUCGAGAUAAUUAACUAAUUUAAA